UCUCCGUAGGUGAACCUGCGGAGGGAUCAUUCACAUGUAUCCAACCUAUCAACCAACUGUGAACUUAAUCGCCGAUGGAAACAAGUAUAUAAUUGUUAAUAAAUACAUUGAGUGGAAUUAUUUUACCCCUUAAAAGGUAAUGUAAUUAGUAUUUAUCUGCCACGACUUGUAUUUGCACACUCGUGUGUGUAAGUAGCUUGUCAAUUAUUGCUUGCACGAUAUCGGUCAAACUCUCUUAUGUUAGCAAUUAAUAAUGAUCCUCAAUCAUUACUAAUGCUGGUUAACAUUUGAGAACCCUUUUAAAACCACCUCUACAUCCUAUAAUUUAAUGAUACUUUCGAGUAGAUUUAAGUUAGAACGAUGUUGAUCAUUCGGAGAACCAAUGAUAGCUAUUUUAUUUUUCGCAAGAAAAACAAAGCAGCUUGAAUUUUUGUAAUCAUUUUCAUGGUUCAAAAAAUCAUAUCUUAAAAACAUAGAAACAACUCUAUGCCCUGGAUAUCUUGGUUCUC
This 509-nucleotide unclassified non-coding RNA is filed under the name plant metagenome. RNAcentral describes it as "partial contains small subunit ribosomal RNA, internal transcribed spacer 1, and 5.8S ribosomal RNA". The record is from RNAcentral.